CUUGGUGAUUGGGUUUGGAUGCUUAGGCAAAAAUGGCAUGUUCAAAUGCAAAAGAAGGUAAAAGGUUUCAUCCUAGAGGGGAUGGACCAUUCCACGUCAUUGAAAGGAUUGAAAACAAUAGCUACAACUUGGAUCUUCAAGGCAAGUUUGUGAUAAUUUACAUUUGCUUCGAUGUUUCUUAUCUUGCUCCGUUUGAUGCAGAUACAAAUUCGAGGUCGUAUCCUUUUGAAAAAGAAUGUAAUGAUACGAUCCAAGGAAGGCCACAAUCAUACAAAGUUCAGGUUCAACUUGAAGAGGAAUCAAUGACGAGAUCGCAAGUAAAUAGGAUCAAUGAAGCCAUGCAUUUACUUGCUCAAAUUAUGGAGACGAAAGAGUUUGAAGUUAAUAAGCCAAACAUUAGGUUUCAUGUUGGGCUUGAAAGCGGAAAACAAGUUGGAUGCAUUGGAAUCAAGAAAACAAAAUUAGAAGCCAGUUGGAUAACUAUACUAUCUCGUAAUACAGAAGGAGAUGCUGUCGCAUGUACUAUUCCCAAAACAAAAGGGUGAAAUAUUGGUUGUUCUAUGCGGUUGACGUAGUUAUAACAAUGCAGUCGUGCAGUUCAUCUUCUAGAUGCGUUUUUUUAUAUUUUUCCUUUAAGUCUAUUUUUUGAUAUGAUUCAUCCUUUUCAUUGUAAAAAUACACAAUUAUUGAGAUAUUAUUG
RNAcentral lists this long non-coding RNA (700 nucleotides) under Olea europaea subsp. europaea. Lineage: Eukaryota; Viridiplantae; Streptophyta; Magnoliopsida; Lamiales; Oleaceae. The record is from RNAcentral.